Molecule: ribosomal RNA, 206 nt
Filed under: uncultured bacterium
Lineage: Bacteria
Description: partial 16S ribosomal RNA
Rfam family: Bacterial small subunit ribosomal RNA
Source: RNAcentral
GGAUUGUAGGCUGCAACUCGCCUACAUGAAGUCGGAAUUGCUAGUAAUCGCGGAUCAGCAUGCCGCGGUGAAUACGUUCCCGGGCCUUGUACACACCGCCCGUCACACCAUGGGAGUCGGUAACACCCGAAGCCCGUAGUCUAACCGCAAGGGGGACGCAGUCGAAGGUGGGAUUGAUGACUGGGGUGAAGUCGUAACAAGGUACC